UACAGAGGUCUCAAGCGUUGUUCGGAUUCAUUGGGCGUAAAGGGCGCGUAGGCGGUUCGUUAAGUCCUGUGUGAAAUCCCCCGGCUCAACUGGGGAACUGCACAGGAAACUAGCGGGCUUGAGUUCGGGAGAGGGAAGCGGAAUUCCGGGUGUAGCGGUGAAAUGCGUAGAUAUCCGGAGGAACACCGGUGGCGAAGGCGGCUUCCUGGACCGACACUGACGCUGAGGCGCGAAAGCUAGGGGAGCAAACGGG
This 253-nucleotide ribosomal RNA is filed under the name uncultured bacterium. Its description in RNAcentral is "partial 16S ribosomal RNA". It matches the Rfam family "Bacterial small subunit ribosomal RNA", at positions 524 to 776 of the family's 1533-position model. The record is from RNAcentral.